GCCUGGUGGCCAGAGCGAGCGGGAACCACCCGAUCCCAUCCCGACCUCGGAAGUGAAACCGCUUAGCGCCGAUGAUAGUGUGGACCCCCAUGCGAAAGUAGGGAACUGCCAGGCUC
RNAcentral lists this ribosomal RNA (116 nucleotides) under Methyloterricola oryzae. The record is from RNAcentral. Lineage: Bacteria; Pseudomonadati; Pseudomonadota; Gammaproteobacteria; Methylococcales; Methylococcaceae.